RNAcentral lists this long non-coding RNA (1674 nucleotides) under Varroa destructor (honeybee mite). Its description in RNAcentral is "uncharacterized LOC111246902, transcript variant X2". Lineage: Eukaryota; Metazoa; Arthropoda; Arachnida; Mesostigmata; Varroidae. The record is from RNAcentral.
CGAAUCUCAUAGGUAAGCAUAGAUAAGCUAUCCUUGAAAAAUCGCAUAACGUGCGGUGUAAUUCGACUAACAACAUGGAACUGGAUCAAUAAUAGUAAUGCUAUGUUGGCUGUCAGAAAUAGGAAAUAAUUUCUACUAAGUAAAGCCUACGUAUGAAACAAGAUUCGCAGAUCUGAUUUAACAUUGUGCCUUAAUAGACACUUCGCACUACAUUCUCUCUAACAGUUUUUAGCUCGUGAUGGCGCGCAAAUACGAUCCAUCCAUCAGUAACGGAAAUAAAGUGUUGGCCACAAAUAUUUGUUUAAGCGACAAAGCGCCACCGCUAAAACUUCUUUGCAUCCGAGCCUUGCAUUAUUCAUUGACGUCUGCUCGGACCGCGCGUCGGCCAUUAUCAACAACUCAAAUGUGGCGUGUUGAUCUGAUGCUGGACCGCGUGCUCAAUUUCAAAUACACUCUGUCAUCGUGUUGUGUUUUUACGCGAGACUUCCCAUGCAAGAUGACUCAACUGAAACUCUGCAAGGAGCCAAUGAAAUAGUUGACCAUCUGACUGCAGGCACAACAUAAUCUUUUUUGUUUUGUGUUUCGUUGCUUGUGAUGACUUUCAUAUUGUAUAUGACAAGCCAACAAAUGGUGUGUGCAACUCGUUACGGAUACAUCUGUCUUCUGUAUAAAUUAAAAGAUCCGCGCUGCUAGGAUCUGUCGAUCCUUGCGCUCAAUCGAUUUAUUCAUUUUAUUGUUUGCUGUUGUAGUUUAUUUGUAUGUUUGACAUAAUCUGAUAUUAUCAUCUCUUGCUCUAUGCACUACAUUCACGCCUUAUCUCAUUCUUUAGAACCACCACCCACUUGUGCUAAUGAAUAUAUCGAAGUGGAGUGUCUGCAAAUAGAGGAAAUGAGAUGCGCGUGUGACCGACCGUUCGCUUGUUUAUGUUACGACUUACCAAAAUGGGUAAUAAUAUAAUGCAGUAGAAAUGGCAAUGGUGACGGAUGUGUGGGAAUAUCGUGUGACGGCAAAGCUGUGCGCUGGGAUCUUUGAAUCUUCUACGGUCGUUGCUUAUAUGGUUUCUGCAUCAAUAUGGUGUUAGUGCCUGAUAGGUUUUACAUGUGGAUUUUACUCAAUCGUAUUUUGUGUACCGGCGGGUAUGCGUCUAUGUCGAAAUCGAUCGGUCUACCAUAUAUCUAUAGUGAAUUGUCUCAUGUAUGAUGUUGUAAAUGAACCUGCGGCAUCUUUACCUAACGGUUCAGCCUCUUCGUAGACCCCGCGAUGGUUCAGUGAUAACGGGCAUAGAUAGACGCACUUUGUUGUCGGCUGAAGGGAAGGGGUAAGGGAGGCAGCCUAAUGCUACCUUGGGUACACAACGGCUAAUCAAGGUUGUACCGAGCAUAAAUAUUAAGAAUAAAGAACGAGUUGGUCAAAAUGAACUAAAAAGAACUAACCGCACGACCAAUGAUUAACUAGAAUAAUUAAGCGUCUAAAAUGCAUUAACCAUGUUUUUAUUUCUAUUGGCUGGAUUCCCGUGAUAGUUUUGCGGGAAAUUAUCUGUUUGUUAAUAUUAGGGACAUAGUCUAGGUCGAAGUUGGGCGUAGACACGCUUCGUUUUAUGGCGGGAGCCAGCUGUCUCAUGGGAUGUCUAACGAUGAUGCCGGUCGUAUAACUCGAAAAAAAAAAAAAAAAAAA